GCCAGCAUGCCGUAGUGGUUUGAGUGCUGGACUAGGACUCUGGUGACCAGGGUUUGAUUCCCAGCUCAGCCA
RNAcentral lists this transfer RNA (72 nucleotides) under Phrynosoma platyrhinos (Desert horned lizard). RNAcentral's name for it is "tRNA-OTHER". Lineage: Eukaryota; Metazoa; Chordata; Lepidosauria; Squamata; Phrynosomatidae. The record is from RNAcentral.